This 487-nucleotide ribosomal RNA is filed under the name uncultured bacterium. RNAcentral's name for it is "bacterial SSU rRNA". It matches the Rfam family "Bacterial small subunit ribosomal RNA", at positions 9 to 491 of the family's 1533-position model. The record is from RNAcentral.
GAGUUUGAUCCUGGCUCAGGAUGAACGCUGGCGGCGUGCUUAACACAUGCAAGUCGAACGGGAAUGCCACGCUGAUGCGAUUUCGGUCAAAUCAUGUGGCAUUCGAGUGGCGGACGGGUGAGUAACGCGUGGGUAACCUGCCUUACACAGGGGGAUAACACCUGGAAACAGGUGCUAAUACCGCAUAAGCGCACAGGGCCGCAUGGCCCGGUGUGAAAAACUCCGGUGGUGUAAGAUGGACCCGCGUCUGAUUAGCUUGUUGGCGGGGUAGGGGCCCACCAAGGCGACGAUCAGUAGCCGGCCUGAGAGGGUGGACGGCCACAUUGGGACUGAGACACGGCCCAAACUCCUACGGGAGGCAGCAGUGGGGGAUAUUGGACAAUGGGGGAAACCCUGAUCCAGCGACGCCGCGUGAGUGAAGAAGUAUUUCGGUAUGUAAAGCUCUGUCAGCAGGGAAGAAAGAAAUGACGGUACCUGACCAAGAAGC